CCUACGGGAGGCAGCAGUGAGGAAUAUUGGUCAAUGGACGAGAGUCUGAACCAGCCAAGUAGCGUGAAGGAUGACUGCCCUAUGGGUUGUAAACUUCUUUUAUAUGGGAAUAAAAUGUUCCACGUGUGGGAUUUUGUAUGUACCAUAUGAAUAAGGAUCGGCUAACUCCGUGCCAGCAGCCGCGGUAAUACGGAGGAUCCGAGCGUUAUCCGGAUGUAUUGGGUUUAAAGGGAGCGUAGGUGGAUUGUUAAGUCAGUUGUGAAAGUUUGCGGCGCAACCGUAAGAUUGCAGUUGAAACUGGCAGUCUUGAGUACAGUAGAGGUGAGCGGAAUUCGUGGUGUAGCGGUGAAAUGCUUAGAUAUCACGAAGAACUCCGAUUGCGAAGGCAGCUCACUGGACUGCAACUGACACUGAGGCUCGAAAGUGUGGGUAUCAAACAGGAUUAGAUACCCGUGUAGUC
This 460-nucleotide ribosomal RNA is filed under the name uncultured bacterium. Its description in RNAcentral is "partial 16S ribosomal RNA". It matches the Rfam family "Bacterial small subunit ribosomal RNA", at positions 338 to 795 of the family's 1533-position model. The record is from RNAcentral.